This 327-nucleotide ribosomal RNA is filed under the name Corbicula sp. LB67b. Its description in RNAcentral is "partial 28S ribosomal RNA". Lineage: Eukaryota; Metazoa; Mollusca; Bivalvia; Venerida; Cyrenidae. The record is from RNAcentral.
CCGGCCGCCAGCGGCGCUCGCAAAGUUCGGAUCCGCAAGGACCGGGCCAGCGGGACGUCCGCGUGGCUGUGGUGCACUUUCUCCGCGGUCGAGUGCUACGACCGGUUUCGAGGCGGUCAGAAGCCCGGCGGAAAGGUAGCGCCGCCCUUCGGGGUGUCGUGUUGUAGGCCGCCGCGGUGGACUCGCCGCGAGACCGAGGACGCUUGCCGCGCCGAGCGGUCCCGGGCCGUCUUGGGAGGUUCGACCUCGGCUGCACUGCUCCGCAGAGCACCGUAACCGCCGCCCUAGCACGGGUCCGGAGACCGCCGGCGCCUCGGGUCAGUAGCG